ACUCAAAGGAAUAGACGGGGGCCCGCACAAGCAGCGGAGCGUGUGGUUUAAUUCGAGGCUACACGAAAAACCUUACCUGGGUUUGACAUCCCACGAAUGAACCCGAAAGGGGGAAGUCCUCGCAAGAGGCGUGGAGACAGGUGCUGCAUGGCUGUCGUCAGCUCGUGUCGUGAGAUGUUCGGUUAAGUCCGAAAACGAGCGCAACCCUCGGUCUGUGUUACAGGUGUCACGGACGACUGCCGGCGGCAAGCCGGAGGAAGGUGGGGAUGAUGUCAAGUCAGCAUGGCCUUUAUAUCCAGGGCGACACACACGCUACAAUGGGUGGUACAGUAGGUUGCGAAACCGCGAGGUGGAGCCAAUCCUGAAAAGCCAUUCGUAGUUCGGAUUGCAGGCUGCAACUCGCCUGCAUGAAGCUGGAGUUGCUAGUAACCGUGCAUCAGCAUGGCACGGUGAAUACGUUCCCGGGCCUUGUACACACCGCCCGU
This 485-nucleotide ribosomal RNA is filed under the name uncultured bacterium. RNAcentral describes it as "partial 16S ribosomal RNA". It matches the Rfam family "Bacterial small subunit ribosomal RNA", at positions 899 to 1397 of the family's 1533-position model. The record is from RNAcentral.